Molecule: RNA transcript, 1273 nt
Organism: Orcinus orca (killer whale)
Lineage: Eukaryota; Metazoa; Chordata; Mammalia; Artiodactyla; Delphinidae
Gene: SH2D1B
Gene name: SH2 domain containing 1B
Exons: 5
Source: RefSeq, a predicted model, not a curated record
UCAUCUCACUCCCACAAGUCAGAGAAGGAAGAGGUAUUUCCACAGGCUCUAUUAGGCCAACUGCUUCCUCUUCUCUCCUCAGAGUUGUCCCUGAACUUGCGAUAUGAGAGGGCUCACCAUGGAUCUGCCUUAUUACCACGGCCCUCUGUCCAAGCAAGACUGUGAGACCUUGUUGCUCAAGGAAGGGGUGGACGGCAACUUUCUGUUAAGAAACAGUGAGUCUACGCCCGGAGUCCUGUGCCUCUGUGUCUCGUUUAAAAAGUUGGUCUACACAUACCGAAUCUUCAAAGAGAAACAUGGGUAUUACAAUAUACAGACCGUGGAAGGCGCUCAAAGACAGACCUUUCCAAACCUAGAGGAACUGAUCUCCAAGUUUGAAAAACCAAAUCAAGGGCUGGUGGUUCACCUUUUAAGGCCAAUAAAGAGAACCUGUCCCUCCCUGAGAUGGAGAAGAUCGAAGAUACAGCUGGAUGGUAUUUAUGAGAACAGUAACAGCGAUUAUGUGGCUGUCUUGCCUUGAAGAUAAGGAGACUGGACAAAGCACUUAUAGAAGAGGUGGGCUGAUAGCUCUCACCAGUGACCCUGCUUCUCCUGCAGGUGUAGGACAGCCUGAACCUAUUCUCCUUGACUUGUUAAAGGUGCCACCACUACAUCACAGUUGACGUCCCCCUUUCAACCACGUGACCAGAGGGGAGAGAAGAGAGAGCGCUGGCUGCUAGUUAGGAGCCUGAGUUCCAGUCCUGGCUCUGUGACUGCAGACCAACCUCUUCCUCUUUCUCUGUUUCUUCAUCUAUAAAACAAGUGGCUAAGCAGAAGGGUACACAAUGCCCCGGCAGAGUUAAGACCUGAUUAGUGUGGAAUGUACCGAAUUCUAUGCCCAUUCUAUCACCCAUCUUCAAACCGUAGUGAUUCAUUUCACCCCACUAGCCUUACCUUUUAAAGUUAUUAAAGAGAGGAACUUAGAUCUCUAGGAAACACGAGCAGACAUUGUGGCUGGAACCCCAAAGCACGAGCCGUUCUGACUUUUGGGUCACAGCAAACCAUAGUAGAGAAGGAGUGCACUGUAGCCAUAUUCAGAGAGCUGAGGGGGCCAAAUCCUUCUGGUUGGUUCGGUAAAGGACACCACAGCAAAACAGCUCUCCAGGGUCCUGGGUCUUUGAUCCUUUCUGCAUGGUACAAAGAAGCAUGUUCCAGUUGUCAGAGCCUGCAGCAAGCCUUGGCACAGAAAAUAUAUUCAGUGACUAUUUCUUAAAUAAAUGACUGAAUAAAUCAA